UUUCUUCUUCCUUUCCCAUCUCACAUUUCUUCAUCUCCAUGGGAGCCUCCCUUAAAGCUUCCAUAACUUUCUCUCUCUAGCUUCAAUUUUCAUGCUUUUAAGCACUUUUUCAUAGAACCUUUUGUGCUCUUUCACUCUCUCAUCUUAAAAUCCUUAAAAGUCUUACUUCCAUCUUCGUCUCACUAGCUGGACAUGUAGAGAGAGAGAGAGAGAGAGAGAGAGAGAGAGAGUGUGUGAGUGAUUUCUUUUGUUAGCUUGAAGAAUUUUGAAAGAGAAUUCAACUACAAAGACCAUCAAGGUGAGUAUAAGUUAAGGUUAAAUUUCUUUAGUUGUUGAUAAUGGCUAACAAUGGGGUUUGUGAGUGUUUUAUCAUUGAGGUUGUUUAUUCACUCUUAAGGUGACUACAGUAGUGUGAAGAACUAGCCAUUUAAUGGCAAUUGGAAGCUAGUUAGGAAUAACUAGUAGAACUUGAUUAGGAAAGAGCUUUUGGAAUUAUAUUAAUGCCAAUUUAGGUUGGUUGUGAUGUUGUGUGUGUAUAGGUUCCAACAAGGCCUCACAUGUCCAUUUGGAGCAUUAGUUGAGGUUAGAGUCAAGCAAAAGAAUUAACAAGACCGGUGAGUGAACUUGCAUUUCAAAAUUGUUUUGAGAAUAUGAAUGUAUUUGCACAAAACAUUUGAAUGAUUUUAUCCAACUUUUCUUAAAAAAAUGGGUGCCUUGGGAAUAAGCCCUUGAUAAAUUAUUUUGAUGGGGUGAAAUGUGAAAAGAAAAAAAAAGGAAAGUCCAUGUGCUCCUCCAUUUUUGUUGAUAUAUAUAAGUAUAUGUUGUGCCUUGAUAAAUAAUAAUUAUGUGAUGAUGAUGACCCGACUUUGUGCGAGUAGGGAGUGCACAUAAGCCGAUGAUGACCCGGCUAUGUGCGAGUAGGGAGUGCACAUGAGCUGAUGAUGUUGAAAUGUGCGAGUAGGGAGUGCACAUGGCAGUGAAUGGAGUGGGAUGGUGUACUUGUUGGUAUAUGUUUAUAGAUGUAUAUGUGAUAUCAAUUUUAUGAUUAUAAUAUGUGAUUGUUUUGAAUGUUGAUAACUUGAUUAUUGUCAAUGUGUUCACUUUGAUGUGCAAUAUGGUAGGGAUGGAUUUUGUGGCAUGUGAAAACCCCUUAAUUGUCAUCUACCCUAAAUCUCGCUACAGCAAGAAACUCUCGGGUUUUGAGGGUCACCCUGGCCUGGUUCUCGUUGCAGCGAGAAUAAAUCUCCCUGCAACGAGAAACUCUCGGGUAAACCCAAAAUUCUAGUGCAGUAUUUCCAAUUUGACAAUGAUUUUGACCACCUUUCAUUCAGAACUGGGAAUAGUGGUAAACAUAAAAGUUGUAGUCCUGCCUCUUAUAUUUCUAAUGGUCUAAAAAUCAGGUCAAUUGGACUUCUGUAGUGGGAGAUAUGCUUGAAAAAAGAAGCAAACUGAGAUUGUUUCUCGCUGCAGCGAGAAACUUGCUGUCCUGUUUUCUACCUUGCUUGAUUUUGACAUAUUUUUCACCCAUUUAACUUCAUGGAUUGAUCAUGGGUUUUUGCAACACUAUGAGGUUAUUGAUCAAAGUUUGAAUGAGGGCUUUUUAGUAAGAAAUUAAAUUAAUUACAUUGUUUUUGAAACAAGUGCAUCAUGAUUUCCAAAUUCCUUCUAUUAAUUGCUUGUUCCCUUCUUAUGUUCACUCACUGAGUUUUAUACUCACAUUUUUAAACUUCAUGUUUUCAGAUUCGAAGACAGUUGGGACCUAGAUUGAGUGUCCACAAAUGCUCGUCCUCUUGGUAGGUACUAUGGCAUCUCAGUAACUGUAUCUUCACCCUGAGUCACUCUGCUGACGGUCAAAAGUCUUAUGCUUGUGUACAUGUAUAAGGAAUGAAGACCACUAAGAUUCAUGUUAAAAAUCAAAUAUGUAUAUUUGAUUACUGAUGCCACUGUAAGGUGGCAAAUGAGUGAUACUAUGUUAGCAUAAUACAAAUGUGAAUAUUGGAUUGCUAUAAAAUGUUACUGAAAUAUUUAUAAUUGAGAAUUACAAUAUGUGGUUUUAGAAA
This 2060-nucleotide long non-coding RNA is filed under the name Theobroma cacao (cacao). RNAcentral's name for it is "long non-coding RNA (TCAC_LNC005806)". Lineage: Eukaryota; Viridiplantae; Streptophyta; Magnoliopsida; Malvales; Malvaceae. The record is from RNAcentral.